Molecule: ribosomal RNA, 218 nt
Filed under: uncultured prokaryote
Description: partial 16S ribosomal RNA
Rfam family: Bacterial small subunit ribosomal RNA
Source: RNAcentral
UACAGAGGGGGCAAGCGUUGUUCGGAAUUACUGGGCGUAAAGGGCGCGUAGGUGGCUGGGUAAGUGUGCGGUGAAAGCCCGGGGCUCAACCCCGGGUCGGCCGUGCAGACUGCCUGGCUCGAGCAUAGUAGAGGCAGGUGGAAUUCCGGGUGUAGCGGUGGAAUGCGUAGGGAUCCGGAAGAACACCGGUGGCGAAGGCGGCCUGCUGGGCUAUUGCU